Molecule: long non-coding RNA, 353 nt
Organism: Choloepus didactylus (southern two-toed sloth)
Lineage: Eukaryota; Metazoa; Chordata; Mammalia; Pilosa; Megalonychidae
Exons: 2
Source: RefSeq, a predicted model, not a curated record
UUGAAAGAAAUCAAUUCAAACAUCCUCUGCAAAGUUUCAAACAUUAAGCAGAUAAGCCAGGAUUAGGACAGGUAAGGAGACGGUCAUUGAAAAAGCUUCAGUGCUUGGGGAAAGUAGAAAGGCUCUCUCCAUGGGCAUGCAGAACAAUCCUGGAAGUGAAUUCCCAGAAUUCUGGACAAAAAGAAGGACAUCUUUUCUUACAUGCCAAUUGGAUAUUUCAAAUAGAAGGAAAUACUAAGAGUAGAAGUCAACUGGGACCAAGACCUGUUCCCUGUAUUUGGAAUUAAUUAUAAACCAUUCAAAUUGAACCAGAGUCAUUAUGACAUAAAUAAACAAAAGAAUGGAUAACAAAA